UGUAAACAUCCUACACUCUCAGCUGUGGAAACUAAGAAAGCUGGGAGAAGGCUGUUUACUCUCUCUGCCUUG
Lonchura striata (white-rumped munia) is the source of this 72-nucleotide microRNA precursor. The record is from Ensembl. Lineage: Eukaryota; Metazoa; Chordata; Aves; Passeriformes; Estrildidae.